This 327-nucleotide long non-coding RNA is filed under the name Canis lupus familiaris (dog). Its description in RNAcentral is "lncRNA (ENSCAFG00030018912.1)". Lineage: Eukaryota; Metazoa; Chordata; Mammalia; Carnivora; Canidae. The record is from RNAcentral.
AUGCAGAUGCAAACAUUUCCAUCCACAGGAAGCCAAGCUGGCUCUUCCUGCUGCUGGGACUCUGCUGAGGUGGCAGCGAGUCAGGGAUGUGUCACCAACCCAGACAUGGAGUUUACUGGGUCAGUAGAUGGAGGGAGGCCUGGACUCGAAUUUCUUUUCUUUCCUCCAAAUGCCUGCUGGAGAAAAUCUGAUGUAUCCUGUCAAGCGUGUCAUCGGAGCGGAGGCGUGGCCUUUCUUCAGAAGGAGAGUUUUCUGGCUGUGUGGUCCCUGCCUGGCCACUUGGAGCUUAUAAUGAAGAGGUCAUGUAAGGAUACAGCAAGAAGGUAG